GAUGGGGAAACGGGGAGUAGGAGAAGGAAAAAGCUAGCCCUUUCCGGCUGCCCGGAUCCGCUGAGCACAAAACUCACCUACAUUGCCAUUCUGGUCUCUCGACUCUCGCAAGACAGGUCAAUGGUCCUGGCUCCUACAUGAGAUCCCAACACCUAGAAGAUGGAGGCAGGAAGAUCAAGCAUUCCACGUCAGUCGUGGUCACGAUAGGCCUUGUAGCCUUUAUCUAACUCCAGGCCCACAACCCGCAUAGAUCUGCCUCCUGUGCCUUUCACCCGUCUGUCUUCCUGCAGUGUGCCUCCAGAAUCAUGGCCCAGACUCUCACUGCCAUCACGCCAGCUUUGUGUUUUGUUUGGUUUGGUUUUGCUUUGAGACAAGGUGUCACCGUGUAGACUAGGCUGGCUUUCCCCGUUUUACGCAUGCUGGGACUUUCCUUCUUCUUUUUCUGAUGGUCUCUAACGACAUCUUCAGCUCCCUAGACGUAUAGGAAUACAUUCCCUAUGUCUUAAUGAUU
Long non-coding RNA from Mastomys coucha (southern multimammate mouse), 511 nucleotides. RefSeq lists it as uncharacterized. The record is from RefSeq and is a predicted model, not a curated record. Lineage: Eukaryota; Metazoa; Chordata; Mammalia; Rodentia; Muridae. The transcript has 2 exons.